GCUGGAACUGGGCGGGCGCCGUUGCGCCGGCAGCGCCCGCGUCGUUGCCGCUGGGCUCGGCGUCCGUGUCCGGAGCGGUGCCGGGUGCUGGCG
RNAcentral lists this transfer RNA (93 nucleotides) under Xanthomonas arboricola pv. juglandis. Its description in RNAcentral is "tRNA-Ala". The record is from RNAcentral. Lineage: Bacteria; Pseudomonadati; Pseudomonadota; Gammaproteobacteria; Lysobacterales; Lysobacteraceae.